GAUCCUGGCUCAGGAUGAACGCUGGCGGCGUGCUUAACACAUGCAAGUCGAACGGGAAACCUUUUAUUGAAGCUUCGGCAGAUUUAGCUGGUUUCUAGUGGCGGACGGGUGAGUAACGCGUGGGUAACCUGCCUUAUACAGGGGGAUAACAACCAGAAAUGGUUGCUAAUACCGCAUAAGCGCACAGGACCGCAUGGUCUAGUGUGAAAAACUCCGGUGGUAUAAGAUGGACCCGCGUUGGAUUAGCUGGUUGG
Molecule: ribosomal RNA, 254 nt
Filed under: uncultured bacterium
Lineage: Bacteria
Description: partial 16S ribosomal RNA
Rfam family: Bacterial small subunit ribosomal RNA
Source: RNAcentral